This 172-nucleotide small RNA is filed under the name Roseovarius mucosus DSM 17069. Its description in RNAcentral is "caulobacter sRNA". The record is from RNAcentral. Lineage: Bacteria; Pseudomonadati; Pseudomonadota; Alphaproteobacteria; Rhodobacterales; Roseobacteraceae.
CAACAAGCGAAAGGAGGUGGUCCAGUGUCUAUAGAGGGAUUGGAGCGAGGUGUCGGAACAGUUCGGGAGGGGAUCGCCUGAGGCAGCCCUUGGGUGAAAACGACCUGAAUUGGUGCGCCUAACCGGCCCACCUCCGCGACUUCUAGAGGGCCGUUCCCAGAUGGGACGGCCC